Molecule: ribosomal RNA, 380 nt
Filed under: Trichuris trichiura (human whipworm)
Lineage: Eukaryota; Metazoa; Nematoda; Enoplea; Trichinellida; Trichuridae
Also listed under: 1 other name
Description: partial large subunit ribosomal RNA
Rfam family: Bacterial large subunit ribosomal RNA
Source: RNAcentral
UAAAUGGCCGCAGUAAUCUGACUGUGCAAAGGUAGCGUAAUCAUUUGUUUAAUAAUUUUAAACUAGAAUGAAAGGAACAAAGUAUACUAACUGUUAAUUAAAAUUUAACAUAAAUCUUUGGCUGAGUGCAAAAACUUAGAAUAAAAAUAUAAACGAGAAGACCCUGGGAAUUUUAAUAUUUUUAUUGGGAUAAUAUAAAACCAUACUUAGCUAAGCAACAAAUAACAUUAAUAAAAAGAAAUUACCCCAGGGAUAACAGCACAAUAGUCAUUAAGAGACCUAAUCUCAGUGAUUGAUUAUGACCUCGAUGUUGAAUCAUUUGUACAUAUAAUUUGCAGAAGAAUUUUAUUCUCGUCUGUUCGACGAUAGACAUUACGUGA